RNAcentral lists this ribosomal RNA (272 nucleotides) under uncultured bacterium. RNAcentral's name for it is "partial small subunit ribosomal RNA". It matches the Rfam family "Bacterial small subunit ribosomal RNA", at positions 26 to 285 of the family's 1533-position model. The record is from RNAcentral.
AGAAUCAACGCUGGCGGCGUGCCUAACACAUGCAAGUCGAACGCGAAAGUCCCGCAAGGGAUUAGUAGAGUGGCAAACGGGUGAGUAACACGUGGGUGACCUGCCUUCGAGUGGGGGAUAACGUCCCGAAAGGGACGCUAAUACCGCAUAACAUCCUGCCUUUGAAAAGGCGGUGAUCAAAGCUGGGGACCGCAAGGCCUAGCGCUGGAAGAGGGGCCCGCGCCUGAUUAGCUAGUUGGUGAGGUAACGGCUCACCAAGGCGACGAUCAGUA